CUACGUGCCAGCAGCCGCGGUAAUACGGAAGGUCCAGGCGUUAUCCGGAUUUAUUGGGUUUAAAGGGAGCGUAGGCUGGAGAUUAAGUGUGUUGUGAAAUGUAGACGCUCAACGUCUGAAUUGCAGCGCAUACUGGUUUCCUUGAGUACGCACAACGUUGGCGGAAUUCGUCGUGUAGCGGUGAAAUGCUUAGAUAUGACGAAGAACUCCGAUUGCGAAGGCAGCUGACGGGAGCGCAACUGACGCUUAAGCUCGAAGGUGCGGGUAUCAAACAGGAUUAGAUACCCUGGUAGUCCGCACAGUAAACGAUGGAUGCCCGCUGUUGGUACCUGGUAUCAGCGGCUAAGCGAAAGCAUUAAGCAUCCCACCUGGGGAGUACGCCGGCAACGGUGAAACUCAAAGGAAUUGACGGGGGCCCGCACAAGCGGAGGAACAUGUGGUUUAAUUCGAUGAUACGCGAGGAACCUUACCCGGGCUUGAAUUGCAGAGGAAGGAUUUAGA
This 501-nucleotide ribosomal RNA is filed under the name uncultured bacterium. RNAcentral's name for it is "bacterial SSU rRNA". It matches the Rfam family "Bacterial small subunit ribosomal RNA", at positions 501 to 1004 of the family's 1533-position model. The record is from RNAcentral.